Molecule: long non-coding RNA, 2142 nt
Organism: Candoia aspera
Lineage: Eukaryota; Metazoa; Chordata; Lepidosauria; Squamata; Candoiidae
Exons: 3
Source: RefSeq, a predicted model, not a curated record
CCCGUUUCCACCGCAUUGUCAGCCGGUGGUGGCUGCAGACAUGCAUUUGGGGAGGGGAAAGAGGAGGAGGAGGGAACAGGACAACAGAUGGGAGGCCAGCAUCCAAGAGCCAAUAGUGAGUCCGGGAUGGCUCUGGGUAUGUGUGUGUGGUGGGUGCUAGUCUGUCUGUCUCAGUCUCAGAGAUUACGGUUUACAACUUGCUAUGUUCCUUUUGCUGGAUGGAAGUGGAAGACUGCGAGAGAGCAUGAAUCGAGGGAGGGAAAAAUCAGAUGGCAGUGUGAAAACCAAAUACAAACAUUGGUAGAAGUUAUUUUUUGUUCUCUAUGAGAAAAUGAAGACAGUGUACAUAUGACUAGGCUCGGGAACUUGAGAAACCACAGGAGACAGGUGGGGUCUCUGACCUCAUCUUGGGGCUCAUGGGCAUCCAUAGAGUCCUAAGACAUCUCACUGCUUCUGCAUGCCUCUAAAAUCUAGUCUUGUAUCAAGAAUGUGCUUCCAUGCAUCUCCAGGUUCUGGAUAAAUUAAAAAGAGGGAGGGAGGGAAAGACUCUCUCCUGAACUCAUGCUGAGCUUUUGAAAUUCCUCUCAAACACAGCAUGACAUCAGGAACAAGCUCUUAUCCUUAUCUAGGCUCAGGAAAAGAGUAAGCACACUGACCUUUCACUGGGCUUUAGAGAUACUUGGAAAGCAGUAGGCUUUCUUCUUGAUUCUGAAUGCUUUCAAAACUCCAUGUGACAUUGGAGGUGAGAGCUUGCUUGUCUCCUGACCCAGGAGAGAACAGGUCUGGUGGCGCCCACAAAUUUUGGCUGUCUGUCAAGGUUAGCAAAAUUGAUGAACUGCUGAUCAUUGCCUCCAAAUUACUAUCAGCUAGUUAACAGUUUUGUUGAAUCUCACAUUUGAUAUGCUCAUGUUGCACAAGAAUAUAUAUUGCAUGCUAGCAAUAUUCAUUGCAUAUGUUGCAGUAGGCUUUUACAGUGGGAAUCACUGAUCAUUUUAAAGUAAAUUUUGAAAAUGGUUAGAGUGUUUUGUCACGGCAAUAGGGAAAACUGGGAUAUACAAUUAAUUAACAAUAUAAUCUUAUUAAUAAAUCCAAUUUGAAUUGAAUUAAAUAUGGGUUUUGCUUAAAACAAUUUUUAAAAGUUUACUGAUCAUCUGUGAUAAAUAAAUUUGCAAGAAAAGAAUUCAAUCUUAGAAUCAUAGUGCUAGAAGAGUCCACUGAGACCAACCUCUGUUCAGCACAGGAAUGCAAAUUACAGCAUCCUCAAAGAUGGGUGCCUAGACUUUUUUUUAACACAUCUAGCAAAGCAGAGCCCACUGCUACUCCAUGUAAUUGAUUUCACUUCAGAUCUGUCUUCCUGUAACUUACUUAUGUCCUACACUCUGGAACAACAGAGAACAAGUCUUGACCUACCUCUGUGUGAUACGUUACAAGUAUUUGAGGAGUGCUUUUUUUUUCCUCUCUCUCUCUCUCUACUCUCCCUCCCACCCCAAUCUUUCUCAAAGUUAAUCAUUUCAGUUCCUUCAGUCUUUCUUCACUAGUCCCCUGAUCAUCCUAGUUGCCCUUCUCAAAUAUGUUUGUCUGAAUCCUCUUAAAAGUGUAACACCAGAAUCUUACUUAUGUAUCUGCCUUUCUCUAAUGCUAAUGCCCAUAUACACUCUUCAUUUACUGUACGUCAAAAAUUCAGUCUCCUUGGAGACAGAAAUAAAUGGUUGGAAUAAACAUUAUAGCAUUGUAUCCAAGCUGGUGAAUAGUCAUACCUCUGUCCUAAAUAUAAUUACUUGAGAGCAUUGAAAUCAGUGCUUUGUAUUGGGGUGCUUGAAGGGGAACAAUUGAUAUGUAGAACUUGUCUGCUUUGAAGAACCAGAGAUUUAAAGUUUAUUGAAUUGCUUGUAUUACUGGCAGUUACACAUGUGAAUGUAUGUAUAGAUUCAUAAUCUUAUGUAAAAAUGUAGAAGCAUGUCCUCCUCUUACAGUAAGAAGUCAUAAAAUAUUAACGGUUAUGUUUAAUGUAAGAGAAGCAGUAGGAAGAGUGCUCUACUGAGGGUUCUUAUUACAGAGCCUUCACUAUGCAACAAGUACCAUUACUGUACAUUAUGAUAAAUUGUCAUACAUAAUUGAAAUAAACUGUCAUCACUUUCCAAA